This 28-nucleotide non-coding RNA is filed under the name Mus musculus (house mouse). The record is from RNAcentral. Lineage: Eukaryota; Metazoa; Chordata; Mammalia; Rodentia; Muridae.
GGCUCACUUGAAAGUAUGUCUUUCUACC